This is a non-coding RNA of Caenorhabditis elegans, 150 nucleotides long. The record is from Ensembl. Lineage: Eukaryota; Metazoa; Nematoda; Chromadorea; Rhabditida; Rhabditidae.
UAAUAUAUAUACUUUUUUCCCAACUUUCCAAUUGCAAAAAGCUGGUCACCAUAUUUCCUCUAUUAGGGAUCUAGUAGUAUUGCAACUCUGCGAACUAAGAGAAAAGUUGCAAUACUAUAAAUAUUCCCAAUAUACUAUUUUUUUCGCACA